This 332-nucleotide unclassified non-coding RNA is filed under the name soil metagenome. RNAcentral's name for it is "partial contains 5.8S ribosomal RNA, internal transcribed spacer 2, and large subunit ribosomal RNA". The stretch from base 1 to 120 matches the Rfam family "5.8S ribosomal RNA", at positions 35 to 154 of the family's 154-position model. The record is from RNAcentral.
GAUGAAGAACGUAGCGAAAUGCGAUAAGUAGUGUGAAUUGCAGAAUUCAGUGAAUCAUCGAAUCUUUGAACGCACAUUGCGCCCUUUGGUAUUCCUUAGGGCAUGCCUCUUCGAGCGUCAUUUAAACCUUCAAGCUAAGCUUGGUGUUGGGUGACUGUCCGCCUCACGGCGGACUCGCCUCAAAAUUAUUGGCGGCCGGUACAUUGGCUUCGAGCGCAGCAGAAACGCGAACUCGGGCCCGUCGUAUUGGCUCCCAGAAGCUAUCUUCACAAUUUUGACCUCGGAUCAGGUAGGGAUACCCGCUGAACUUAAGCAUAUCAAUAAGCGGAGGA